Molecule: transfer RNA, 72 nt
Organism: Ovis aries (sheep)
Lineage: Eukaryota; Metazoa; Chordata; Mammalia; Artiodactyla; Bovidae
Rfam family: tRNA
About the family: Transfer RNA (tRNA) molecules are approximately 80 nucleotides in length. Their secondary structure includes four short double-helical elements and three loops (D, anti-codon, and T loops).
Source: Rfam
UCCCUGGUAGUCCAGUGGUUGAGACUUUGCCUUCUAAUGCAGAGAGUAUGGGUUCCAUCCCUGUUCAGGGAG